UAACGAAUAUUGGGCAAUGGGCGAAAGCCUGACCCAGCAAUGCCGCGUGCAGGACGAAGUCCUUCGGGAUGUAAACUGCUGUCAGGGGUCCGCAAGCGAAGGGGUCCAACAGGCCCUGGAGUUGAGCAGCCCCAGAGGAAGCCUCGACUAACUCUGUGCCAGCAGUCGCGGUAAGACAGAGGAGGCAAGCGUUGUUCGGAAUCACUGGGCUUAAAGCGCGUGUAGGCGGCUUAGAAAGUGUCGUGUGAAAUCCCGCGGCUCAACCGCGGAACUGCACGGCAAACUACUUGGCUUGGGGUCGGUAGAGGUGCCUGGAACUCUAGGUGGAGCGGUGAAAUGCUUAGAUAUCACGAAGAACCCCGAUUGCGAAGGCAGCUUGCUAAACUGUAACUGACGUUCAUGCUCGAAAGUGUGGGUAUCAAACA
RNAcentral lists this ribosomal RNA (425 nucleotides) under uncultured prokaryote. RNAcentral describes it as "bacterial SSU rRNA". It matches the Rfam family "Bacterial small subunit ribosomal RNA", at positions 355 to 774 of the family's 1533-position model. The record is from RNAcentral.